UCCUGAGUAGCUGGGACUAUAGGCACGCACCAUCAUGCCUAACUAAUCAAUGUUGAGUGUAUAAAUUGUGCUGGAGUGUAGGUGGUUCAGAUGUUUCCACCUGCAUAUUGACCCCAGUUUGGGCUAUGAGAGCUGAAGUUUUCUCUAGAGAUUUGUUUUGUUUUGAUUACUUCUGUCUUAAUAGCUUUAUCAGUGCAAUUUUCUGAUUUAGGUUUCUGUGCUGAUCCCUCUUUUGGAGAAUGGAGAGCUUUUGAUUCCGGGCAGAGGUGACUAUCUGAAAGUGGCAUCUGGAUUUCAGUUUUUUGCAACCAGGAGACUCUUGAGCUGUGGAGGAAAUUGGUAUAGACCGCUAAAUAGUCAUGCUACUUUGCUAGACAAAUAUUGGACCAAAAUUCACCUGAAUAAUCUGGAUAAGAGAGAACUGAAUGAGAUGGCCUGUGUUCUCCAC
Sapajus apella (tufted capuchin) is the source of this 448-nucleotide long non-coding RNA. RefSeq lists it as uncharacterized. Lineage: Eukaryota; Metazoa; Chordata; Mammalia; Primates; Cebidae. The transcript is spliced from 3 exons. The record is from RefSeq and is a predicted model, not a curated record.